RNAcentral lists this long non-coding RNA (2782 nucleotides) under Marmota monax (woodchuck). The record is from RNAcentral. Lineage: Eukaryota; Metazoa; Chordata; Mammalia; Rodentia; Sciuridae.
GGGAACGAUGCAAAGGUCUCUGCCUCGUCCUGCGGUUAAGAGUUGCUGUGCUAAGAGCCCUGGCCGCCGCGAACCUCAAGCUCGGUUUCGCAUUUGUCUCCGGUCCCUUUCUGCUUCUAGCAGCGGGUUGAGUGGUUGGUCCCAGGAGCCCAGGUUCUCUCCUUCCUCAGAGCCUUAGGUAGGGACCCAAGUUCUGACAAACCGAAGAAGGGUGUGUCCUGCAGAAGUUUCUCAAAGGCUAGGCUACAGCAGAUGUCCAGCGAUGCUGUCCACGGAAGGGAAAGAAGACAGAAACCGUAGCUUUUCCAGAUCGCACAAGUAAUGUGCCCAAACUGCAAAAAGACAGCGCACACCAACUGAAAGGAACCACCUGUGACUGUGCCUGUCCGAGAAGAUCACGUUUAGAGUUAGGGACAAAUGUCCAUCCUCGAAAAGGAGACCAUAAGCACAAUGGGUUCUCACUAUUUUGGGCUGAAAUAAUGCAACAGUUCUCUGGCCUAAUUGGUUCUUAAAAGCUGGUGGGGAAAAUAGUAAAAACAAAAUCUGCCAACCCAGAAACUCCUCUGCACAAAUGCAGGAAGUGAAGACAACCGUUUUAAUCCCGAGGAAGCAUUGAGCCAGACUGUGAUGCGCAUCCUAGGCGAACCACUAAGGAGACUGCAGGAGGACGCCUCGCCUUUCUAAUACCAAGCAGGGACCCUCCAGCCCGCGCACCCGGGCUCAGGAUAAACUGCAGCACUUGACGCACCGUGGGCUCGCCAUUCUCACAGGACUCAUCCUGAGUUCAUCUGGUAAUCGAGGUGGUCGUCGGAGCUCUUGCCUUUAUCCCAACGAAAAGCAAAACUUCUCACAUCUUUGUGACAAGCAGGUAGAUACAGCUCAGAGUAGGGUGCCUGCACCAAACUCCCAAGGUGACAGGGACAUAGGGACGCUGUCUUCCUCAAGGUUUACAUCUUAGAGAGAUGACUCAGGCCUAGAAAUGCAUUCCUGGCUGGAAUGCUGGCAAGCAGUUUAUACCACUUUUUAAAAGAUUUAGAUGUGAAUCAAAGGGAGACAGGAAAUAUUUCUAGGACCAGUUCUCUAAAGGAGAACCUCUGCAAAAGGGAGAAGAGAGACAGUCUCUACCUUUUGUCAACAAGCAAAAUGUAAUCUUUUAUUUAAUAUUUAUUAAGUUCUCAAUUUACAAUGCUGAGGAUGGAACCCAGCUCAGCCAGCACUCUUCCACUGAGCCACACACCCAGUCCCAUCUUAAAAACAAAACAAAAACCUAUAAGAUGCAAAUAACAAUGUCCAAGAAUAUGGUAAAAGUAAAGGCUAAAAAUAAUAUAUUCAGGAUAAUGAACACAAUGUAUUUUAACAUAAAGAUGCACUUUCACAAGAAUAUUUUAAAUAAUAAAUCCAUGUGUGUGAUAAUUACAAAGUACUCCAGAAUUCUUUUAACCUUUAAAAAAAUUUUUUUAAGUUGGAGUUGGAUACACAAUAUCUUUAUUUAUUUGUAUGGUACUGAGGAUCGAACUCAGUGCCUUAUACAUGCUUGGAAGGGGUGCGCUACCCCUGAGCUAGCCCCGCCCCCUUUAAAAACUUUUAUUUAUUUUCAUGCAGUGCUGGCCUAACACGUGUUAGGCAAGCGCUCUACCUUUGAGCUACACUCCCAGCCCCAUCCAAAAAGUUUUUUUAAAGGAAAAUUACAAUAUAAAAAAUAUGAUGUGCACUUAAGAUAGGGCAAAAAUCAAAUCCCACAUUCUCCAGCAGGUUUUUGUCUCUGUGGUGUUGGGUAAGUCAGGUAAGCUUUCCUUCUUGACCUGUAGUUGUAGGUCAUUAAGUAGGUGAUGACUGGUGUCAACCACUUCAGUCUCAGCACCUGCCACCAGCCACCUGGAUGAAUAAGGCAAACAUUUGACCCCACUCCAGUGCCUCCUUGAGCCCACAAAGCACCCCUGCACUCUGCACACCAAUGCAGGUGUGUCAGAUGGUUGUAGAAACAUAGGUCCUUGUCCAGGAGCUAGAUAGAAUAAGGAUCCACAUGGGAUGAGGCAGCUGGGAACCAAGAUGGGGAAGCAGGUCAGAGUGAGCAAUGGGAAUGAAACCCAAGCUCUGGAAUGAGGGUUUCCAGAUGUUUGCUUGCAGCAGAGAGGAGAUGGAGAGGGGCCACCUUUGUAAAAAAGCUUCAGAGCAGGUGAAUUUGGGGGCCCCAGCAAGCAGACCCAAGCUUCAGCUCCAGCUGUCACUUAUGCUAUGUGACUAGGGCAACUUUCUGAGCCCAGUUCUCUUAUCUAACAAAAGAGGGACAAAGAAUGAAUCAAACAACUUAUCUCUCCCAGCAUUCUUUCCAGACAGGGUUUAACAUUAUUGUGGCUGACAAAGAGAGAUUUGCGAGGACCAGCUCCAUGAUCACAGAAUAAUCAAAAGGGUGAAUUUACAACUAAGGGACAAUGAAAGCAUAAUGGAUGUAUAUUUACGUCUAUACGUCAGCACAUCCAGCCCUUCAUUUUGUCUUUAGAAUGAAAAUAUUCUUUCAUAUGGAUGAAACACGUUUUUUUUACCCAUUCAUCCACUGGAGGACAUUGGUGUGGUUUUCCUUCUUUGGCUUCCAUGAAUCAUACCGCUGUGAACAUAUGUGUACAGAUCCUUUGGGUACCUGUCUUCAUUUCUUUGGGGAUAUAUAUGCAGGAGUAGAAUUGCUGGAUCACAGUGGGAGUCUAUGUUUAACUUGUAGGGGAGCCACCAAACUGUUUCCACCAUUUAUAAUUCCAUGGGAAAUGUUAAAGGAGUUUUAGUUUCU